AUGAAGGGGAUAAAGCAUGGGGCGUGUGAUUAUUUGGUUAAGCCAGUGCAUAUAAACGAGCUAAAAAACAUAUGGCAGCAUGUUGAAAGCAGGAGAAAUACCGAAGCAAUAAGCCACAUCAGCGAGGAUGAUGAUGACGAUCAGAGAGCACAACUUGGGACUGCUGCCCACAGCAAUGAUGGAGCUAAUACUGACGAGAACAAAGAGAGCAGACAGGCAUCCACUACCCAGAAGAAGCUAAGAGUGGGAUGGACAAUUGAGCUGCAUACAAAGUUUAUGGAUGCUAUCAACCAGAUCGGCCUUUAUAGGGCUACUCCAAAGAAGAUUCUCGAGCUGAUGAAUGUGGAUUACCUCACUAGACAAAAUGUAUCGAGUCAUCUACAGGUUUAUUUUCGACCCUUGUUCUUUAUUUGUCACAUGUUUGUGUUCCAUUUAGUCAUAGUCUAA
This 447-nucleotide ribosomal RNA is filed under the name Triticum aestivum (bread wheat). RNAcentral's name for it is "partial small subunit ribosomal RNA". Lineage: Eukaryota; Viridiplantae; Streptophyta; Magnoliopsida; Poales; Poaceae. The record is from RNAcentral.